UACGUAGGGUGCGAGCGUUAAUCGGAUUUACUGGGCGUAAAGCGUGCGCAGGCGGUACGUUAAGACAUGUGUAAAAUCUCUGGGCUCAACCUAGGAAUUGCGCUUGUGACUGGCGGGCUUGAGUACGGUAGAGGGGGGUGGAAUUCCUGGUGUAGCAGUGAAAUGCGUAGAGAUCAGGAGGAACACCGAUGGCGAAGGCAGCCCCCUGGGCCUGUACUGACGCUCAUGCACGAAAGCGUGGGGAGCAAACAGG
RNAcentral lists this ribosomal RNA (253 nucleotides) under uncultured microorganism. Its description in RNAcentral is "partial 16S ribosomal RNA". It matches the Rfam family "Bacterial small subunit ribosomal RNA", at positions 524 to 776 of the family's 1533-position model. The record is from RNAcentral.